UAGGGAAUCUUCCACAAUGGACGCAAGUCUGAUGGAGCAACGCCGCGUGAGUGAAGAAGGUCUUCGGAUCGUAAAGCUCUGUUGUUGGUGAAGAAGGAUAGAGGCAGUAACUGGUCUUUAUUUGACGGUAAUCAACCAGAAAGUCACGGCUAACUACGUGCCAGCAGCCGCGGUAAUACGUAGGUGGCAAGCGUUGUCCGGAUUUAUUGGGCGUAAAGCGAGCGCAGGCGGAAUGAUAAGUCUGAUGUGAAAGCCCACGGCUCAACCGUGGAACUGCAUCGGAAACUGUCAUUCUUGAGUGCAGAAGAGGAGAGUGGAACUCCAUGUGUAGCGGUGGAAUGCGUAGAUAUAUGGAAGAACACCAGUGGCGAAGGCGGCUCUCUGGUCUGCAACUGACGCUGAGGCUCGAAAGCAUGGGUAGCGAACAGGAUUAGAUACCCUGGUAGUCCAUGCCGUAAACGAUGAGCGCUAGGUGUUGGGGACUUUCCGGUCCUCAGUGCCGCAGCAAAUCGC
Molecule: ribosomal RNA, 513 nt
Filed under: uncultured bacterium
Lineage: Bacteria
Description: partial 16S ribosomal RNA
Rfam family: Bacterial small subunit ribosomal RNA
Source: RNAcentral